This 833-nucleotide ribosomal RNA is filed under the name human gut metagenome. RNAcentral describes it as "bacterial SSU rRNA". It matches the Rfam family "Bacterial small subunit ribosomal RNA", at positions 8 to 823 of the family's 1533-position model. The record is from RNAcentral.
AGAGUUUGAUUCUGGCUCAGAUUGAACGCUGGCGGCGUGCUUAACACAUGCAAGUCGAACGUGAAAGUCCUUCGGGGCGAGUAAAGUGGCGCACGGGUGAGUAACGCGUGGAUAAUCUACCCUUAAGAUGGGGAUAACGGCUGGAAACGGUCGCUAAUACCGAAUACGCUCCCGAUUUUAUCAUUGGGGGGAAAGAUGGCCUCUGCUUGCAAGCUAUCGCUUAAGGAUGAGUCCGCGUCCCAUUAGCUAGUUGGCGGGGUAACGGCCCACCAAGGCAACGAUGGGUAGCCGGUCUGAGAGGAUGACCGGCCACACUGGAACUGGAACACGGUCCAGACUCCUACGGGAGGCAGCAGUGGGGAAUAUUGCGCAAUGGGCGAAAGCCUGACGCAGCGACGCCGCGUGAGGGAUGAAGGUUCUCGGAUCGUAAACCUCUGUCAGGGGGGAAGAAACCCCCUCGUGUGAAUAAUGCGAGGGCUUGACGGUACCCCCAAAGGAAGCACCGGCUAACUCCGUGCCAGCAGCCGCGGUAAUACGGAGGGUGCAAGCGUUAAUCGGAAUCACUGGGCGUAAAGCGCACGUAGGCGGCCUGGUAAGUCAGGGGUGAAAUCCCACAGCCCAACUGUGGAACUGCCUUUGAUACUGCCAGGCUUGAGUACCGGAGAGGGUGGCGGAAUUCCAGGUGUAGGAGUGAAAUCCGUAGAUAUCUGGAGGAACACCGGUGGCGAAGGCGGCCACCUGGACGGUAACUGACGCUGAGGUGCGAAAGCGUGGGUAGCAAACAGGAUUAGAUACCCUGGUAGUCCACGCUGUAAACGAUGGGUGCUGGGUGU